AUUGAACGCUGGCGGCAGGCCUAACACAUGCAAGUCGAGCGGAUGAAGGGAGCUUGCUCCUGGAUUCAGCGGCGGACGGGUGAGUAAUGCCUAGGAAUCUGCCUGGUAGUGGGGGAUAACGUCCGGAAACGGGCGCUAAUACCGCAUACGUCCUGAGGGAGAAAGUGGGGGAUCUUCGGACCUCACGCUAUCAGAUGAGACUAGGUCGGAUUAGCUAGUUGGUGGGGUAAAGGCGUACCAAGGCGACGAUCCGUAACUGGUCUGAGAGGAUGAUCAGUCACACUGGAACUGAGACACGGUCCAGACUCCUACGGGAGGCAGCAGUGGGGAAUAUUGGACAAUGGGCGAAAGCCUGAUCCAGCCAUGCCGCGUGUGUGAAGAAGGUCUUCGGAUUGUAAAGCACUUUAAGUUGGGAGGAAGGGCAGUAAGUUAAUACCUUGCUGUUUUGACGUUACCAACAGAAUAAGCACCGGCUAACUUCGUG
Molecule: ribosomal RNA, 484 nt
Filed under: uncultured bacterium
Lineage: Bacteria
Description: partial 16S ribosomal RNA
Rfam family: Bacterial small subunit ribosomal RNA
Source: RNAcentral